RNAcentral lists this ribosomal RNA (230 nucleotides) under uncultured bacterium. RNAcentral's name for it is "partial 16S ribosomal RNA". It matches the Rfam family "Bacterial small subunit ribosomal RNA", at positions 562 to 791 of the family's 1533-position model. The record is from RNAcentral.
AAAGGGUGCGUAGGCGGCCUGUUAAGUCAGGGGUGAAAGACGGUAGCUCAACUAUCGCAGUGCCCUUGAUACUGAUGGGCUUGAAUGGACUAGAGGUAGGCGGAAUGAGACAAGUAGCGGUGAAAUGCAUAGAUAUGUCUCAGAACACCGAUUGCGAAGGCAGCUUACUAUGGUCCUAUUGACGCUGAGGCACGAAAGCGUGGGGAUCAAACAGGAUUAGAUACCCUGGU